GGAAUAUUGGUCAAUGGACGAAAGUCUGAACCAGCCAUGCCGCGUGAAGGAUUAAGGCCCUCUGGGUUGUAAACUUCUUUUAUCUGGGACGAAAAAAGGGUAUUCUUACUCACUUGACGGUACCAGAGGAAUAAGCACCGGCUAACUCCGUGCCAGCAGCCGCGGUAAUACGGAGGGUGCAAGCGUUAUCCGGAUUUACUGGGUUUAAAGGGUGCGUAGGUGGAUUUGUAAGUCAGUGGUGAAAUCUCCGAGCUUAACUCGGAAACUGCCAUUGAUACUAUAAGUCUUGAAUUAUCUGGAGGUAAGCGGAAUAUGUCAUGUAGCGGUGAAAUGCUUAGAUAUGACAUAGAACACCAAUUGCGAAGGCAGCUUACUACGGAUAUAUUGACACUGAGGCACGAAAGCGUGGGGAUCAAACAGGAUUAGAUACCCUGGUAGUCCACGCCCUAAACGAUGGAUACUCGACAUCAGCGAUACACUGUUGGUGUCUGAGCGAAAGCAUUAAGUAUCCCACCUGGGAAGUACGAUCGCAAGAUUGAAACUCAAAGGAAUUGACGG
This 558-nucleotide ribosomal RNA is filed under the name uncultured bacterium. Its description in RNAcentral is "bacterial SSU rRNA". It matches the Rfam family "Bacterial small subunit ribosomal RNA", at positions 358 to 916 of the family's 1533-position model. The record is from RNAcentral.